ACCUACCUGUGAGACGGGGAUAACUCCGGGAAACCGGGGCUAAUACCGGAUAACGCAUCGAACCGCAUGGUUCGAUGAUCAAAGAUGGCUUCUAGCUAUCACUCACAGAUGGGCCCGCGGCGCAUUAGUUAGUUGGUGAGGUAACGGCUCACCAAGGCGACGAUGCGUAGCCGACCUGAGAGGGUGAUCGGCCACACUGGGACUGAGACACGGCCCAGACUCCUACGGGAGGCAGCAGUAGGGAAUCAUCCGCAAUGGACGCAAGUCUGACGGUGCAACGCCGCGUGAGCGAUGAAGGUCUUCGGAUCGUAAAGCUCUGUUGUGAGGGAAGAACAAGUGCCGUUCGAAUAGGGCGGCACCUUGACGGUACCUCACCAGAAAGCCCCGGCUAACUACGUGCCAGCAGCCGCGGUAAUACGUAGGGGGCAAGCGUUGUCCGGAAUUAUUGGGCGUAAAGCGCGCGCAGGCGGUUCCUUAAGUCUGAUGUGAAAGGCCACAGCUCAACUGUGGAGGGCCAUUGGAAACUGGGGAACUUGAGGACAGAAGAGGAGAGCGGAAUUCCACGUGUAGCGGUGAAAUGCGUAGAUAUGUGGAGGAACACCAGUGGCGAAGGCGGCUCUCUGGUCUGUAACUGACGCUGAGGCGCGAAAGCAUGGGUAGCGAACAGGAUUAGAUACCCUGGUAGUCCAUGCCGUAAACGUUGAGUGCUAGGUGUUAGGGGGUCCAACCCUUAGUGCUGCAGUUAACGCAAUAAGCACUCCGCCUGGGGAGUACGGCCGCAAGGCUGAAACUCAAAGGAAUUGACGGGGGCCUGCACAAGCGGUGGAGCAUGUGGUUUAAUUCGACGCAACGCGAAGAACCUUACCAGGUCUUGACAUCUUCGGACAGCCCAAGAGAUUGGGUCUUCCCUUCGGGGACCGAAUGACAGGUGGUGCAUGGUUGUCGUCAGCUCGUGUCGUGAGAUGUUGGGUUAAGUCCCGUAACGAGCGCAACCCCUGAUCUUAGUUGCCAGCAUUCAGUUGGGCACUCUAGGAUGACUGCCGGUGACAAACCGGAGGAAGGCGGGGAUGACGUCAAAUCAUCAUGCCCCUUAUGACCUGGGCUACACACGUGCUACAAUGGAUGGUACAAAGGGAAGCCAAACCGCGAGGUCGAGCUAAUCCAAUAAAGCCAUUAUCAGUUCGGAUUGUAGGCUGCAACUCGCCUGCAUGAAGCCGGAAUCGCUAGUAAUCGCGGAUCAGAAUGCCGCGGUGAAUACGUUCCCAGGCCUUGUACACACCGCCCGUCACACC
Molecule: ribosomal RNA, 1292 nt
Filed under: Alkalibacillus sp. 248Y
Lineage: Bacteria; Bacillati; Bacillota; Bacilli; Caryophanales; Bacillaceae
Description: bacterial SSU rRNA
Rfam family: Bacterial small subunit ribosomal RNA
Source: RNAcentral